Non-coding RNA from Heterocephalus glaber (naked mole-rat), 351 nucleotides. The record is from RefSeq and is a predicted model, not a curated record. NCBI's taxonomy places the organism in Eukaryota, Metazoa, Chordata, Mammalia, Rodentia, Bathyergidae.
GGAGACCUAGAAGGCGUGCCAUCCCCCUCUCUACCAUUUCUGGUCCUAAUUAGACCCUUGGGACUAGAGCAGCUGUUUUUGACCAUGAGAAAAGCCAGCUCAAGAGCCAAGCUGUGGAGAGCAGAAGGGAAACAGAAAGAAUGAAGAUUCCAAGGUUCUCGGCAAAAAGCAACAGCUAAGAAGUUGAAGGCAUGGAGCAUUUCAGUUGUUAUCCACCACAGGGGAGACUAAGCUUGAAAUUUGAAUUCAACCAAGUUAACUGCCUGUUGAAACAGAAAAUUAACGCUCUUGGAAGGAAUAUAACAGAGUCCAGAGACCCUACAGUUACAGUUCAAAAUCUCACAUAUACAA